AGUUAAUGUGCUAUCAUCAUUGAUAACCCUUAGGAGGGACAACAAGGGCUUCUCAAUAGUGUGCUUCUCUUCAUCAAGCUGGAGGAAGGGGUCUUCACCAUUACUUAGAGUACGUAAUUCAACCACUAGUUAAAAGUAAUGGUGUCCUCAGAUCUUAGAUCUGAAUCAUCUUCUUUAAAUGGUUCUUUAAUUCAUGGCCAAAGAAUGUCUUUCCAUAUACUCUCAGAGAGAUAGUCCUUCUUUGAGAGAAAGAUAUAAAAUUUAAUUCUAGGUCUUCUUUAACUCUGAAACUAUGUUGCCUGAAGCAACUCAUGUGCUGCCAUCAGAUUUUAUUAGGUGGGCUAAAGCAGAUUCAGAAGGAGAUUUCCUUACAUAAUGGCUGUCCCCAUGGAACCUUCAGGUAGUCAGUUAAAACUGUCUAAUGAAGAAUUUUCAAGAUCCAUAAGUACAGGAAAAAUCUUGAUGGUCUCUCUCCCUUACUGAUUCAUUGAUAGUUCUCAAACAUUGGGCUGGCACAACGAGAGUAAAAUAGUACAUUUCGCACAGUGUAAAGUGGUGGGUGUGGAUGUUUUCGGAGCCAGUCAGUCUCUGGCAGCUGACUGAGUCACACUCCUGCUUUGUUGCCCACUUACAUCUUCAGAGAGCAGCCUGGGUGGGGAUACUCAUCAAAAUGUGCUCAUUUAAGGACAAACCCAUUUGAACAUUACAACAUUUGGCAAACUUCCUCUACCGAAUGGUGAACCUGGCCCACUGCCUCUGAGAUGCUUCCGUUGCUUGGCUGGGAAACAUAGACCCUUUAACGUCCUUCAUGUGGUAGAACACAUUCAAGACCUUCCAACUAAACACCUGUCUAAGAGCCCUGAGUGUUUUACCUGUUCCUCAAACAUUAUCAAGAUCUUGGCCUGGACCAGUGGGUUACGGAUGUGCAGUGAGUCCUUUUGCAAUAUACAACUAUUUUUAAUCAUGACUGGAGAAUCCCGACGUCUUACUGAGUUCUAGUGGUCACAUGUUUCAUCAAGAAGUCAGCAAACAUCUACUGAACAAGUUCAAUGUGGAGAAUUCUGUACCAUACUUAAGGAAAUGCUCCCACUCCCUUAAGAUGUUUAUAAUCUUAUUGAGAAUGAGGGAACAACAAAAACCAUAGAGGCAAAACUGUGUGACUGCAAAACUGCUUCUAGAUCAACACAAAAGCCACUGACAUAGCAGUGCUUUCAUCAGUGAUAGAUGUGCCAUCUCGACACAAUUUAUAAUCAAGUAAUCUU
This 1262-nucleotide long non-coding RNA is filed under the name Equus asinus (donkey). RNAcentral's name for it is "lncRNA (ENSEASG00005027769.1)". Lineage: Eukaryota; Metazoa; Chordata; Mammalia; Perissodactyla; Equidae. The record is from RNAcentral.